CGAACCGUGCAAACGUUAUUCGGAAUCACUGGGCUUAAAGGGCGCGUAGGCGGGCUGGCCAGUCUGUGGUGAAAUCCCCCGGCUUAACCGGGGAACUGCCGUGGAUACUGCCAGUCUCGAGGAGGGUAGGGGCAUCUGGAACAGCCGGUGGAGCGGUGAAAUGCGUUGAUAUCGGCUGGAACUCCGGUGGCGAAGGCGAGAUGCUGGACCCUUUCUGACGCUGAGGCGCGAAAGCCAGGGGAGCGAACGGGAUUAGAUACCCCGGUAGUCCUGGCCCUAAACGAUGAGAACUGGAUAGCGAUCCUGACAUAGGACCGCUGUCGGAGCAAAAGUGUUAAGUUCUCCGCCUGGGGAGUAUGGUCGCAAGGCUG
Molecule: ribosomal RNA, 371 nt
Filed under: uncultured organism
Description: bacterial SSU rRNA
Rfam family: Bacterial small subunit ribosomal RNA
Source: RNAcentral